RNAcentral lists this ribosomal RNA (447 nucleotides) under uncultured bacterium. RNAcentral's name for it is "bacterial SSU rRNA". It matches the Rfam family "Bacterial small subunit ribosomal RNA", at positions 355 to 825 of the family's 1533-position model. The record is from RNAcentral.
UGGGGAAUCUUGGACAAUGGGCGCAAGCCUGAUCCAGCCAUGCCGCGUGGAUGAUGAAGGCCUUAGGGUUGUAAAAUCCUUUCGCCGAGGACGAUAAUGACGGUACCCGCAGAAUAAGCCCCGGCUAACUUCGUGCCAGCAGCCGCGGUAAUACGUAGGGUGCAAGCGUUAAUCGGAAUUACUGGGCGUAAAGCGUGCGCAGGCGGUUGUGUAAGUCAGAUGUGAAAUCCCCGGGCUCAACCUGGGAAUUGCAUUUGAGACUGCACGGCUAGAGUGUGUCAGAGGGGGGUAGAAUUCCACGUGUAGCAGUGAAAUGCGUAGAGAUGUGGAGGAAUACCAAUGGCGAAGGCAGCCCCCUGGGUUAAUACUGACGCUCAUGCACGAAAGCGUGGGGAGCAAACAGGAUUAGAUACCCAAGUAGUCCCUGAGCGGGCUGGCAAGGCGCAU